RNAcentral lists this ribosomal RNA (490 nucleotides) under uncultured bacterium. Its description in RNAcentral is "bacterial SSU rRNA". It matches the Rfam family "Bacterial small subunit ribosomal RNA", at positions 28 to 507 of the family's 1533-position model. The record is from RNAcentral.
GAUGAACGCUAGCUACAGGCUUAACACAUGCAAGUCGAGGGGCAGCAUGGUCUUAGCUUGCUAAGGCCGAUGGCGACCGGCGCACGGGUGAGUAACACGUAUCCAACCUGCCGUCUACUCUUGGACAGCCUUCUGAAAGGAAGAUUAAUACAAGAUGGCAUCAUGAGUUCACAUGUUCACAUGAUUAAAGGUAUUCCGGUAGACGAUGGGGAUGCGUUCCAUUAGAUAGUAGGCGGGGUAACGGCCCACCUAGUCUUCGAUGGAUAGGGGUUCUGAGAGGAAGGUCCCCCCACAUUGGAACUGAGACACGGUCCAAACUCCUACGGGAGGCAGCAGUGAGGAAUAUUGGUCAAUGGGCGAGAGCCUGAACCAGCCAAGUAGCGUGAAGGAUGACUGCCCUAUGGGUUGUAAACUUCUUUUAUAAAGGAUAAAGUCGGGUAUGCAUACCCGUUUGCAUGUACUUUAUGAAUAAGGAUCGGCUAACUCCGUG